This 431-nucleotide ribosomal RNA is filed under the name uncultured bacterium. Its description in RNAcentral is "bacterial SSU rRNA". It matches the Rfam family "Bacterial small subunit ribosomal RNA", at positions 917 to 1345 of the family's 1533-position model. The record is from RNAcentral.
GGGCCCGCACAAGCGGUGGAGCAUGUGGUUUAAUUCGAGGCAACGCGAAGAACCUUACCAGCCCUUGACAUGGGUAGUAUGGAUUUUGGAGACAAUUUCCUUCAGUUCGGCUGGCUACCACACAGGUGCUGCAUGGCUGUCGUCAGCUCGUGUCGUGAGAUGUUGGGUUAAGUCCCGCAACGAGCGCAACCCUCAUCUUCAGUUGCUAACGCCUAGGGCGAGCACUUUGGAGAAACUGCCUGGGAUGACUAGGAGGAAGGCGAGGAUGACGUCAAGUCCUCAUGGCCCUUAUGGGCUGGGCUACACACGUGCUACAAUGGCGGUGACAACGGGAAGCAAUUGGGCAACCUUGAGCAAAUCCCCAAAAACCGUCUCAGUUCGGAUUGUACUCUGCAACUCGAGUGCAUGAAGUUGGAAUCGCUAGUAAUCGU